This 266-nucleotide transfer-messenger RNA is filed under the name Candidatus Jettenia caeni. Its description in RNAcentral is "partial transfer-messenger RNA". It matches the Rfam family "transfer-messenger RNA", at positions 1 to 268 of the family's 374-position model. From Rfam's summary of the family: Bacterial tmRNA, also known as 10Sa RNA or SsrA, is named for its dual tRNA and mRNA-like properties. Lineage: Bacteria; Pseudomonadati; Planctomycetota; Candidatus Brocadiia; Candidatus Brocadiales; Candidatus Brocadiaceae. The record is from RNAcentral.
GGGGGCGAAAGGAUUCGACCGGAUACGUUGAGGUAUAGGCGGCGUAUUGAGGUUGUCAGGCGGCCUCAUUAAAAACCUGGCAAAAUGAUUUAAAUGCCGAAUAUCCAAUGGCAAUGGCUGCUUAAGUGUAGCCACGUUUAAUUAACCUUACCUGCGAGAUUAAUUAAACGACAACGAGCAGGAUAGUUUAGUUCCUGUGCUCGGUGGGAACUAAGCGAACCUUUAAACGGAGCUAGUCAUGAGAAAUCCUGUCUAUUGGAGUUUUU